GGCCCGUUAGUCAAGUGGUCUAAGACCCCGGCCUCUCACGCCGGUGACAUGGGUUCGAAUCCCGUACGGGUCACCA
RNAcentral lists this transfer RNA (76 nucleotides) under Oscillospiraceae bacterium. RNAcentral's name for it is "tRNA-Glu". It matches the Rfam family "tRNA". From Rfam's summary of the family: Transfer RNA (tRNA) molecules are approximately 80 nucleotides in length. Their secondary structure includes four short double-helical elements and three loops (D, anti-codon, and T loops). Lineage: Bacteria; Bacillati; Bacillota; Clostridia; Eubacteriales; Oscillospiraceae. The record is from RNAcentral.